UAGUUAUUAAGGUGCAACAUUUAUAUUCGAAACAGGUCAGGAUUGGAAAAUAGCAGCCUUAAGAAUCAAUGAAUGUGUGCACCUUUUAUAUUAGGUGAU
RNAcentral lists this signal recognition particle RNA (99 nucleotides) under Mycoplasmatota bacterium. Its description in RNAcentral is "Tenericutes bacterium (anaerobic digester metagenome) signal recognition particle sRNA small type". It matches the Rfam family "Bacterial small signal recognition particle RNA". Rfam says of the family: The signal recognition particle (SRP) is a universally conserved ribonucleoprotein involved in the co-translational targeting of proteins to membranes. Archaeal SRP consists of a 7S RNA and homologues of the eukaryotic SRP19 and SRP54 proteins. In most bacteria, the SRP consists of a 4.5S RNA and the Ffh protein (a homologue of the eukaryotic SRP54 protein). The record is from RNAcentral. Lineage: Bacteria; Bacillati; Mycoplasmatota.